RNAcentral lists this non-coding RNA (99 nucleotides) under Lacticaseibacillus sharpeae. RNAcentral's name for it is "Lactobacillus sharpeae TPP sequence". It matches the Rfam family "TPP riboswitch aptamer (THI element)". Rfam says of the family: Vitamin B(1) in its active form thiamin pyrophosphate (TPP) is an essential coenzyme that is synthesised by coupling of pyrimidine and thiazole moieties in bacteria. The previously detected thiamin-regulatory element, thi box was extended, resulting in a new, highly conserved RNA secondary structure, the THI element, which is widely distributed in eubacteria and also occurs in some archaea. Analysis of operon structures identified a large number of new candidate thiamin-regulated genes, mostly transporters, in various prokaryotic organisms. The record is from RNAcentral. Lineage: Bacteria; Bacillati; Bacillota; Bacilli; Lactobacillales; Lactobacillaceae. RNAcentral also lists the same sequence under 1 other name.
GUCACCACAAAGGGGAGCAAAACGCUGAGAUUGGAGCAAUCCUAAACCCUUCGAACCUGUUCGUUAGUACGAGCGUAGGGAUUUGUGGAAGUGAAUAUG